AGGGAUCUUGCAUCUUGGGACCUUCUGCAGAGUCUUCUCAUGUCUGGGCUCUACCGAAAGCUGAAUGCCUUCUAGGUCAUCAGGCCCCCACCGCUCGCCUUACCUGCUCUUCUCCAAAGAAAAAUGGCUUCGGGCGAAGGCAGGAACACCAGGCCUUUCUUCGUGCAAACAACACUAAUGGGGAACUCCGCGAAGAAAGUGCAGGAGACCAGAGGAGCUGUCACCACACGUGCCAGGAGGGGAGAUUUAUGCUGAUGACCAGGAUGUGGACAUACCAAUGAAUUAUCCUUUUGUGCCAAGGCCUCGGCAGCUUGCAAGUGACCCCGACUUCUGCACACGUGUGCUCAUGUGUUAUUACAAAGAUAUUGUCCACUACUCAAGAUUGCUGCAUUUCUG
Molecule: long non-coding RNA, 396 nt
Organism: Callorhinus ursinus (northern fur seal)
Lineage: Eukaryota; Metazoa; Chordata; Mammalia; Carnivora; Otariidae
Source: RefSeq, a predicted model, not a curated record